RNAcentral lists this ribosomal RNA (440 nucleotides) under uncultured bacterium. Its description in RNAcentral is "partial 16S ribosomal RNA". It matches the Rfam family "Bacterial small subunit ribosomal RNA", at positions 338 to 795 of the family's 1533-position model. The record is from RNAcentral.
CCUACGGGUGGCAGCAGUGGGGAAUAUUGCACAAUGGGGGAAACCCUGAUGCAGCGACGCCGCGUGAGUGAAGAAGUAUCUCGGUAUGUAAAGCUCUUUUAGCAGGGAAGAAAAUGACGGUACCUGACUAAGAAGCCCCGGCUAACUACGUGCCAGCAGCCGCGGUAAUACGUAGGGGGCAAGCGUUAUCCGGCUUUACUGGGUGUAAAGGGCGCGUAGACGGCACAGCAAGUCCAGAGUGAAAGCCCAUGGCUUAACCAUGGUACUGCUCUGGAAACUGUGGCGCUUGAGUGCGGGAGGGGCAGGCGGAAUUCCUGGUGUAGCGGUGAAAUGCGUAGAUAUUAGGAGGAACACCGAGGGCGAAGGCGGACUGCUGGACCGUAACUGACGUUGAGGCUCGAAAGCGUGGGGAGCAAACAGGAUUAGAUACCCGUGUAGUC